GAGAGGAGGUGAAGAAGAACUGUUUUACAGUAAUGCCAUUUAAAGUAAUUCUAAGAAUAGGUAAAGUCAUAUUUGUAAAGAAAUUCGUUUCUAGAGAUUCUGUAACUACUGCAGUGCAAAACUCAACCUGUAAUUACUACAAGAAGAGGCAUUGGUUUGGAUUCGCAUCAAGUCCUACCUAGGUAGCUUACAAGUUGCUGACUAAACACUAUAGUCAACUUUCUGACAAUUGACUACUGAUUCAAUGGACUUUGUCCCCUUGGCUUUUCCAUUACACUGGACAGAGCCACUGCUCUGAAGUUUGUCUUGUUCAAAGACCAGAACCUGUACACUACAGAAACAGCAAAUUACUCCUGAACAAUCACACACUCAAAAUUACAAUCAGAAAACAGUGGCUUCUGCAUCUGUACGUCCCACUCUAACACAUGUUGGAAGAUGAAAAGCACUGUCUGCUUUACUAUUAAGAGAUUAAACACCUCCACAGGAAGACAACCGCCUUUCUGAUCAACAUUCUGAUAGUACUGAUGGUGGUGGAAAACGUAGACAUAACUGCAAGGUGAGAUGCAGCUACUUUGUGAACUCAAGGCAGAAUGCUUUGUUCAGCCUUACCUCCACCAAGGCUUUUUAAGAGAUGACAGAAGGAAUCUCAUCACUGUGUACAGAUAUCUAAUGAGUGAGAGUGAAGUGGACAGGGCCAGGCUCUUUGCAGUGGUGUUCAGUGACAGGACAAGGGGCAAUAGGCAGAAACUGGAACACAGGAGGUUCCAACUUGAUCGUGAGAAUAAACUUCUUUACUGUGAAUGUAACAGAGCACUGGAACAGGCUGCCCAGAUGAGUUGUGGAGUCUCCUUCUCUGUAGACAUUCAAGACCCACCUGGACACUUUCCUGUGUAACUUACUGUAGGGAAGAGGGUUGGACUCGAUGACCUCCAGAGGUCCCUUCCAACCCCCACCCUUCUGCAGACCCUGUUCUUUGUUAAAAUGUUUACUGCUUUGAGUAUAUUCUAGAGACAUCACCUUUGUGAGAUAUUUGCGAGAAGGUGAGGACUGGAGGAAAACAGGGACAGCAAUGGGAAUAAGAAUAUUGCUGAAGUACAAUGCAAAUGUGUAACAAAGACUUAUCUCAGAAACACCCCAGCUUCUUUGAUUUACCCAAAUGCCUUGGGUACCUUGAAGUACCAAGUAAUAUAAGCCAUGGCAACAUGAAGGACAGAGGUUUAGCUUGUGAACCAAUUAAUCCUGUGUCAGAGUUGUAUACUUAUGCAUUGCCAUGAGGGUGAGGAGACACAAAACACAACCAACACAAAAGCCUUAGACUCUCCUCCUUCAUGCAGCAUUUAGACACCAGUAAUAAAAUAAUUACUUUUUAAGUUUCCACAUGCUCUGCUGGGCUAGGGAUAAUCUGGUCAUUCCAGAGGUCCAAGAUGCAGGAGCAGCUCAAAACACUGAAAAUUCCACGUGUCUAUUCUGUGAUGAGUACAGAGCUACUUCUACAGUGAGAAGGCUCCAAAGCAUUAAUGUACUGAAAUAAGAGAGUAUAUUGCAUCAGGAUUUUAUAUGAAAGAAUGUUUCUUCUGAUAGCCUGCUAAAAUAAACUUCUACUAAGUCAAAUUCUGGACAGUCUGAGCACAUAGGCUCUCCACAUAUUUACCUACGGUACUUUGCAGGCUGCACUGCGUUCCGUUCCUCUCCACGCCCCUCCCUCCCACCACCAAUAAAGAAAAUGAACGCUGUACCAGCUUCUUUUCGGCUAACAAAGUUAAAAUAAUCGAGAUACUCGAGCCUUUAUGUGCAAGCACCAAACCAAAUUGUGUGGAAGAGGUUGCUAUCUGCUCUGGAUCAAAUUACAGCAGUGAGUGAAGCCCCACCCCACGUCUCCUUUAGCACAGUCCAUUAGACCUGAAAACAAAUUUUUCCAUGGAGCAGACGACUCCUGCAUUUAGAGCACUUCACAGAAAAGCAGAUCAUCCAGUUUUCACUACCCAUCCCCCCAAGCUUAGUCCUUUCAUCUCAGCCAAACAAGCCACAGCUCUGCUGAAUGUGUUUAUCACACUUUCAAGAGAUAUGAGCCCCUGCGUCACUGAAGCUUUAAGACUCACUAAGCUGCCCUAGUCCUCUGAGCUCUGGGAGCAGCCAUUUUAGCUCAGACAACUCCAGCACUGAGAGGCUCAUAGCUUCUCACCCGUGCACAACAUGGCCUCACUUAUCUCAGCUUCAUCUCAAGCACACCAGAGCGCCAGCAAGUAUCUCCCAGGGUUGGUUCCCUGUCCCAUGGAUGACAAAUGUGACGGUUCAAUCCAGAAACACGGCAUUACAGCAUCAAGACUCCGGUCCAAGCUGUCCUACAGGCAGAGGCAAGGCAGAGCCGAGCCUCCCAGCAGGAGGAGGGCUCGGGGGGGCGAAGUGGACGGGGGUGCCUCCAGCAACUGAGGAGCCCUCCUGCUCGGCGCAGAAGACACACCACCCCAGUCCCCUGCCAGAUUCCAAAGUCUAAUGACCUUUGUUAAUCACCAGCCAGCCCGUCUGCAUCAGCAAACCCUGCCAGCAGACACACCCUUCAACACAAAGGCUGUAGCUAUGCCUUUUAAGAGAGGUUCUCUAAAAACUCCAUUGUGUGGAAGAGAGGAAAAACAACACGCACGCACACAAAUCUCUCUUCCCUCCGCUUCCCCAGCCCCCGAAAAGCUUCAGAAACACCAUCACAAAGUGCUUUCAGCUUUGUGUCUCUUUUGGAAACUUCAGGACAGCUUACAAAAUAGAAAACCAGGAGAGCAAACCUGAAGUUCUAAAAAAAUAGAAUGCUGGGAGCUUCAAGAGAUUAAAAAAAAACAUCACCAUCCCCAUCUCCAGCAGCCACAAUUCUUUCAUACGCUGACGCUUGGAGAAGGUAUCCUCAAGGAUGCUGGCUUUUGUCUAGACAAUCUUAGGUCAACAACAGUACCCUUCUGCUACAAAUCAGAAGGAGCAGUUGAGAAAUCACUAAUAGCUGCUGAUUAAAAUCUAAUGAGGACUUUCUAAUGGGUUCUAGCUUGUAAUGUCAGCAGGAGCUAUCUCACAAAGGUAGCACCAAGUCAUAGACAAGGUGAAUAUUACUGCAGCUAUGAGGAACAAACAUCAGGUACAGCUCCAUGAAUUUCUGCUUUAUGUUUUCACCAGUAUUGUGCUGAAAGCAAGAUGAACCGGUCUUGUGAGGAAUUCUGCCCUACCGUUCCCACAUUUUUCUUUAAAAUUUGGGCAUUUCACAAAGACUAAGAAAAUCAUAAACUGCCACUCUGAGCUCAUAUAUCAAAAGAAUCUGAAACACAAUGUGUCUUUCUUCUUCAUUGUCUGCAUGGAACACGGAACAGAAAGAUCCACCUACCCACCAGGGAAGAGCAUUGUCAGUGCAGAUGUUAAUACACUGGAAGAUACACAAUCCAAGCAAAAGAGGUAGAGCAAGAUUUGCAUGUUUUUCGGUCAUUACCGCCUAAGACAAUACUUUCCAUAUAUACAAACAACACUACCUUCUGUAUUUAAUUUGCUUAAUAAAAUCUACAUUCCAUAAUUCCUUAAAUUUUCAAAUAGCAGCAUAAAAAAAAAUUGAGGAAUGGCGGUGUAGGUGAGAACAGAGUUACCAAAACUAUAAGCUCAAAAGCAGAACAGGAAGCCUGGAGAGAAAACAAACAAACUAAACAACAACAAACAAACACAACCACCAUGAAAUUAAUCCAUAGAUCCUACAAGCCCUCUAACGUAUUCACAACCAAUCUCGAGACCACAUUGCCCAAAGAUAAUGUGAUUUCUAAAAUACUCUUACUAACAUGAUACUAACCUCACCAGAUUCUUAAAAUGCCAUUGUCUGAAUUAAUUUGCAUUUAGAACCUCUUGUUAAAAUAUAUGGCUUUCAUGUUUAAUGUGGAGAAGAGGUAUACUCAUUUCCCUUAGGAGAAAAAGCUCCCAAAACAUUGAGCACAAGAGAUUCUGGAAGCCAUGUAGCUUUCAUUUUAAAGAGCAGAGUUGAGGUAUCAAAUUGUCUUCGACAUCCUUCUCUACGCUCCUAUAUAUGUGAAGAGAACAUCCGAGAGACAGUUGCAUUACAUUUCUAGGGUUUUAAAAAUCCAAAACAAAAGAUAAUUGUGCUUGUUGAACAACAGUCAUUACUGAAUUUGGCAGCAGCCAAAGUAGUACAAAUCAUUAUGUUUAAGUUUGGUUUUAAAGCUUCAAAAUACAAAAUUAAUUGUGAAGCCUAAGGCGCUGACCUCAAAAUUGAGCUUCUGUGGUUGACUACCCACCCGUUGUAUUUUCAGAAGGAGUCAGCAGUGCUUCUAGAAGCUAAGAAUAUGCACAUGCACAACCACAACUGAAAAGGUCACUCAGACCACACACACUGUGUGAAUCCAGCUCAGUAUCAGUAACAUUACAUUUAAAAUAAAGAAAUUUCCAUAAUUCCAAGCCUUCCUACAGACAGAUGAUCAGACACCUCUUCAUCCCUACUUCAUACAGGCAUGUUGCACAAGGAGUUUUCACUUAUUGAGGUGGAGCUGAAACACAGCCAUCUUAGCACUACCCACACAGCAAAGGAAGCAGGAACACCGCCAAGCCUGCUGUCACCUGACAGGGCUCCCCAGGAGGCGCAGCAUGUGUCAGAACCCUGAAGGCACCCACUAGCUUUGCUGCCCAGCACCCUGGGCCUCUGCCAGGCUGUCCAUGUACUAGAAACCCAUUCCAGCCCCACUGAGGCCUUUAUCACUCCACCCAAGGUGCAGGGUUUCCAGUUAGGUCCUCAGUCAUGUCCAGCUGUGUCUACAGCUGCCCUUAGCCCUGACCCCAAGGUGAUGCGUCAAUGCCUAGGCCCUGUGCUGUGGCUUCUGGGAGUCCCAUUGGCCCCUGAUUUGUCAGUGUGUGAACGAAGCGCACUCAUCAAGACUGGAGUCGCACAUCACACUGGAUUCACUGGAAGCUUCAGUGUUGGUUUUGACUUUCUUUUUUUCUUUUUGUUGUUGGAGAUUAAGCCACCAGAAACAAACUACCAAAACACUACAGAAAUGUGACUCAUGAGCAGCUCACCAAAGACGAAAGCUGUUAAGAAAUCCCAUGGAUAACACGACAGGCCAGGCAUUCUCCCUCCUGCAUAGGUGUGGGUUUCAGAAGGCACCUCGGCCUACAGCUAUGGUGGCCCCUGCCAGCGGUGCCACCUGCGCUCCUCUCAGUGCUUGGUUCCACUCACAUACAGAGGGGCUGCUGGUUUGAUGGUCUCACUGAGUUUCUCUUGCCUUAUCUAUUUAUUUAGGAUAAGACUCUUUAUAAAACAAGAUGGCAAUGGAGGAAAUAGGCAAAACAAGUAAAAUCAUAGGAACAGUGCAAAAUUUGAGGAGCUGGAAACCCGAAGGCCCUUCUAAGUGCAGGAAGACAGCUUCAUCUUUAACUUAUAAGAAUAAAUUAGUGAGAAACUCCAAGAGUAAAUUCAGCUUUCAGCUCAAGUCAGGCAUACCUCGUAAACUCAUGGGUCUUUUUCAAUUGUUCUGUGCCAGUCAAGUUAUGGAGAUUCUUGGUCCUCUGAUGGUUGACUUUGGAGUUGCUCGUCCAAACUCAUAAACUGAACUAAUACUCUUUCUUUUCUACUCUGUUUUUUUUGCCAGGGUAGAUGGGGAAGAGGGAUAAGGAAUCUGACAGAACUUAACACUGAUGAGACUCCAUGAAUUGGGUUGCAACCAUUCACUCAUAUAUGCAAGCAUUUGUUCAAGCGUGGGCUCUUGUUCACAAGAAUGUAUGCAGAGUGAAACUUUCACAUUCAUUUAGGAUUUCAUUGACAAGAGACCAUGACAGAAGUAUACAGUCAUCUCUGCAGAACUUUCGUUUUUACUUCUUCUGUUUUUGGAACACCAAAGUGAUGGAAGACAACAUAAUAUGUAUUAGGUUUCCAUUCAUUUAUCAUGAACGAGUCAUAUAAAUCAGCAGAAGUGACGUGCUCUCAAAGAUACUGAAGACUGAAGUAGUUCUGUGGUUUUCAAGCAGUUACAAAUUACUGGACAUUAGCUGAAGACUCACAACUUGUAAUAUGUAAGGGACACAAAGGCAGAAUUAAAUUGUCAAGUAGCAAUACCGGUACUGAUACUCUGAUCCACACAGUUGCUAUGUAUUUAUUUGAAUCAUUCACUUUCAGGCCACACUGCGGUAGACUCUACCUGUGUGAAGAGCAGGAUGAGUAAGUCUUCACUGUGAAGAGCCUUCCUUUUUAACUUUAGGAUGAAUAAACACAGGGAGGUGAAGUGGCUUGACUCCAAGUUGCGUAGUUGAUCUGAAAGAAAGCAGGUUCCCAGAUUCCAGCCCCUCCCUGCUACACCAUGCUGCCUUCUGUGCCAUUGGCUUUGAAAUCCCAGUGCUAACUUUCCACAGCAACUGCAAGUACAACGUUCUCCAGAACAUCGGAAAUUAAAAUUUUGGUAGCACAGGUGUAUCAUACACCACACACAAGGAUAUAUCUGACUCCCUUUAUUAAUCAUCUUUGUAUUUACUUUUUUGUCUCUGGAUUGCCAUUUCCAUCUCUCUGCAUAGAAUCCAGGUCUUUUGCUGAAAUAUUUAGGCCAACUCAGCAAAAUGCCUGAAGGGCUGAGGAAGAGAAUACCAGGGAAGAUGGAGGUUAGGGAUGGUGGUCAUGGUCUAACCCCUAUCUUGCUUGAGAUUUGAAAUAACUCAUAUUAAAAGAGAAAGGAGACUGAGAAAAGGGAGCAGUUCAACUUUACAGAGGAUGGGAAAGGAUAUUGGUUUCCAAGGUUCGACACCUGGAAAAGUCAAAUUCUUGUAGCAUCUGUGAGGCAUUUCUCUUGAGAUGACUUUACCCAAACCACCAAAUCCUCCUACUCUCUUACCAAACUCUUCUAAAUAUUGGACAACAUAUUCAUGAUUGUUCUGUUCUAGCAAAUACCAAGAGGGAAGGUACAACAACAAAAAAAACUUAGUAGAAGUCAACAGAGGGAAUAUUCUUUAUAGCACCUUUUUAAAAAUACCAUAAGAGGAACACUCUAGAUCUUCCUCAAUGUAUUCUGUGAGCAGGAGAUAUUCAUGACCAAAGAAGGGGAAGUAUGAUUUAAUCAGACCUCUCUUUUGCACAUGCUAGUUGGAGCCACAAAACUUGUGCACACUUCCACCACUUGACCCUGGCUAAUAAAAUUUAUGAGAACAACUCGGGCAAUUAGUUUUCAUGUACUGACAGUUGCACCUACCCUUCGUUGUUAGGUUAUCACCACAAAAAAAAUAAAAAAAAAAAUAAAAAAA
Numida meleagris (helmeted guineafowl) is the source of this 7254-nucleotide long non-coding RNA. RefSeq lists it as uncharacterized. NCBI's taxonomy places the organism in Eukaryota, Metazoa, Chordata, Aves, Galliformes, Numididae. The record is from RefSeq and is a predicted model, not a curated record. The transcript has 3 exons.